This 185-nucleotide non-coding RNA is filed under the name Spartobacteria bacterium Tous-C9RFEB. RNAcentral's name for it is "6S RNA". It matches the Rfam family "6S / SsrS RNA". From Rfam's summary of the family: E. coli 6S RNA was the first non coding RNA to be sequenced, but its function was unknown until recently. The record is from RNAcentral. Lineage: Bacteria; Pseudomonadati; Verrucomicrobiota; Spartobacteria. RNAcentral also lists the same sequence under 1 other name.
UUUGCCCUGCUGUGUACGCGAUUAAACGGAGUGUAGUCCCGGACCUAUGUUAAAUUAAAUCCCGGAGGCUUGUGCGCCCGGCGAGAUGACAGGCCUUCAUUGGACGUCUGAUUGCUGGGAAUGCGGUCAUCCACCCUAAUAUUAGGGAACGGGAACUGCUUCGGAACGGCAUGAGUGGGGCAAUA